RNAcentral lists this long non-coding RNA (1408 nucleotides) under Marmota monax (woodchuck). The record is from RNAcentral. Lineage: Eukaryota; Metazoa; Chordata; Mammalia; Rodentia; Sciuridae.
GUGUUCAAUGAAAGGAGCUCUUUGAAUUUACGGUGGUUCUGAGUCAUUCCUAAAAUACGUGAUGACAAUACAAAAUAAAAUAAUAACACGCUUUCCCAAAGAAACAGCAGUUGCUGUCAUAAUUGCCACUUGGUGGGUGAGUUGGAAUAUGUUUCUAACAGGUAGUGGAGACCCUCGGAGGUUGUAGCCUCUCCAGAAGAGUUCUGGAAGCUGCCUGGCUCAGCCGUCCCUCAGAAAGAAGCUGCUCCGACCUCUGCUUCUGACCUGUGCUUCUGAACACCUGCUAGCGUUUAGCCAGACCAGCGGCGAGGUCUCUGGAGCCUCCACUGGAGGGGGUCGGGACACAGCCUGUGGAUGCUGACCUCCGGUCCCCACACAGAGCCACCCUCCUGAGAGUGUCACCUACUGAUGUGGAACUCUGGGGACUCGGGAGGGCCACACCUAGGGCUGCCUCCUGCUUGACUCCCCCUCAGACCUGUGGCUCCCCAAUCCUGCCUCUCAUUUGGACCAGGAAAGGGGAGGGUGGGACACCUGAGGAACAGAUCCCUUAGAAAUCAGGUCUCGUGUCUCAAACAUUCUUCUCUGAGGUCACGCAUUACCGAGGAGAAGAGUCACUUCAUCGGAUCAUUUGAUCUCUACUUUUGUCCUUACCAACCCACUCUUUGCUUAAGGAGAAGGUUUCACAGUGGACUUGGGGUACACCUGAUUCUGGAGUGUCGGAAAUUAUGAGCAUAUCAAGGUGUGCAAGUGUCUGAGGACAGUCCUGGGGUGUCCCUAAGAGUCGCACGUGUGCACCUGAGCAUGCUUGCCUGGGCCAGGAGAGGCUGCUGCCUCUCAGAGACCCCUGCUGUGAACCCAUCCUCCUCCUCCCUCCUCUCAAAACCAGAGGCUAAGGGGCGGGUGACUGGUGGGGUUCAGGGCCUGGGGGAUGGUGCUUUCAGAACCUCACCUGUGGCCCUGUCCUCAUCCGAGAGAAGAGACAGCUGCCUUUGGGUCUCUGGGUCCACGGAGCCGGGCCAGGCCAGCAGUGGGCAGGAAACAGCCCUUGGCCCCUGCUGAAGCCGUCCAGCUGUCCUUGACAGACAGCACCCUCCAGCCAGCGUCCCGGGGGAGGGGGUCUGGAACUGGCUUCCUGGAGGCUGGGAUAGCAGUGGCCCCAGGGUGAGCAGCGGACAGCCGAGCUCCCAGCUUUGUUGGGGGGAGUGGAAGUGUCUUUCCACAGAAGAGCCUCUGUUCCUGAGCCAUCAAGCAGUGCAGCUCCUUGCCCCCAGAGGGGACCGAGGGCACAUUCAGAGACCGGGAGAAGCUCACGGGGCUGGAGGGCAGCCAGGGAGCCCGGGUUUUACGGACAAGGCCAAUGUGGCCAGUUGAUGGGACAAUCAGAGCAACACAGGGGACCAGACAGAAG